Molecule: ribosomal RNA, 505 nt
Filed under: uncultured bacterium
Lineage: Bacteria
Description: partial 16S ribosomal RNA
Rfam family: Bacterial small subunit ribosomal RNA
Source: RNAcentral
GACGAACGCUGGCGGCGUGCCUAAUACAUGCAAGUAGAACGCACAGUUUAUACCGUAGCUUGCUACACCAUAGACUGUGAGUUGCGAACGGGUGAGUAACGCGUAGGUAACCUGCCUGGUAGCGGGGGAUAACUAUUGGAAACGAUAGCUAAUACCGCAUAAUAUUAAUUAUUGCAUGAUAAUUAAUUGAAAGGUGCAAUUGCACCACUACCAGAUGGACCUGCGUUGUAUUAGCUAGUAGGUGAGGUAACGGCUCACCUAGGCGACGAUACAUAGCCGACCUGCGAGGGUGAUCGGCCACACUGGGACUGAGACACGGCCCAGACUCCUACGGGAGGCAGCAGUAUGGAAUCUUCGGCAAUGGACGAAAGUCUGACCGAGCAACGCCGCGUGAGUGAAGAAGGUUUUCGGAUCGUAAAGCUCUGUUGUAAGAGAAGAACGGGUGUGAGAGUGGAAAGUUCACACUGUGACGGUAUCUUACCAGAAAGGGACGGCUAACUACGUG